GCGCGAAAACUCUGCAAUGCACGCAAGUGUGACAGGGGAAUCCGAAGUGCUUAGUUUACUAGGCUUUUGCUAAGUGUAAAUAACUUGGCGAAUAAGGGGUGGGAAAGACUGGUGCCAGCCGCCGCGGUAACACCAGCGCCCCAAGUGGGGGUCUCGCUUAUUGGGUCUAAAGCGUCCGUAGCUGGCUUGUUAAAUUUCUUGUGAAAUUGUCCGGCUCAACCGGGCAGCGUGCAGGGAAGACUGGCAAGCUUGGGACCGGGAAGGGUCAGAGGUAUACUGGGGGGAGCGGUAAAAUGCUAUAAUCCCCAGUAGACCACCUGUGGCGAAGGCGUCUGACUAGAACGGGUCCGACAGUGAGGGACGAAAGCCAGGGGAGCAAACCGG
This 384-nucleotide ribosomal RNA is filed under the name uncultured euryarchaeote. Its description in RNAcentral is "bacterial SSU rRNA". It matches the Rfam family "Archaeal small subunit ribosomal RNA", at positions 339 to 727 of the family's 1478-position model. The record is from RNAcentral. Lineage: Archaea; Methanobacteriati; Methanobacteriota.